UGACCUUUGUAUGGAGACUACUAAGUCAGAAUUUCAAAAUCAGAGAACCCUGGAAUUAAGAAAAAUGGGCAAUCCUGAGCCAACUCCCGCUUUCAAAAAACAAAGGAUAGGUGCAGAGACUCAAUGGAAGCUAUUCUAACAAAUUCAGAAUUCAUCCUAAAAAAAAAAGGAUGAAGAAGAAACGUAUAUACAUAUGUAUACGUACUGAAAAGUUAACUACUAUAUUGUAUCGAAAAAAAGAAUUAAUGAUGACCCGAAUACAUUUUUUUCAUAUAAAAAAAAUGGAAGAAUUGUUGUGAAAGAAUUGUUGUGAAUUGAUUCCAAGUUGAAGAAAGAAUCGAAUAUGAAUUUCAGAAAUUCAAAAAAUUAACCUUGUGUUUGAUAGAUCUUUUGACGAAUUGAUCAAUUGGAUGAGAAUGAAGAUAGAGUCCCAUUCUACAUGUCAAUACUGACAAGAAUGAAAUUUAUAGUAAGAGGAAAAUCCGUCGACUUUAUAAAUCGUGAGGGUUCAAGUCCCUCUAUCCCCA
This 527-nucleotide non-coding RNA is filed under the name Limonium sinuatum. RNAcentral describes it as "partial transfer RNA-Leu". The stretch from base 1 to 452 matches the Rfam family "Group I catalytic intron". Rfam says of the family: Group I catalytic introns are large self-splicing ribozymes. They catalyse their own excision from mRNA, tRNA and rRNA precursors in a wide range of organisms. Lineage: Eukaryota; Viridiplantae; Streptophyta; Magnoliopsida; Caryophyllales; Plumbaginaceae. The record is from RNAcentral.